AGCUUGAAGGAUACAUUUUAAGUGAAUUCUGCCCAGCGUUAUGUAUUAGCGGCCGCAGUACCUUGACUGUGCUAAGGUAGCAUAAUCAAUUGGCUUUUAAUUGAAGUCUGGAAUGAAAGGUUUGUUAAAGAAUUUUCUGUCUCUUUUUAGCUUUUAUGAAUUUAUUUAUAAAGUGAAAAUACUUUUUAUUAGAAAAAAGACGAGAAGACCCUUAGAAUUUUUAUUAAAAGGUUUUUUAAAUCUCUUAUUUUUGUUGGGGCGACAAUGAAACAU
RNAcentral lists this ribosomal RNA (273 nucleotides) under Galba pervia. Its description in RNAcentral is "partial 16S ribosomal RNA". The record is from RNAcentral. Lineage: Eukaryota; Metazoa; Mollusca; Gastropoda; Lymnaeidae.